RNAcentral lists this ribosomal RNA (465 nucleotides) under uncultured Thiobacillus sp. Its description in RNAcentral is "bacterial SSU rRNA". It matches the Rfam family "Bacterial small subunit ribosomal RNA", at positions 913 to 1382 of the family's 1533-position model. The record is from RNAcentral. Lineage: Bacteria; Pseudomonadati; Pseudomonadota; Betaproteobacteria; Nitrosomonadales; Thiobacillaceae.
ACGGGGACCCGCACAAGCGGUGGAUGAUGUGGAUUAAUUCGAUGCAACGCGAAGAACCUUACCUACCCUUGACAUGUCCGGAACUUGCCAGAGAUGGCUUGGUGCCCGAAAGGGAAUCGGAACACAGGUGCUGCAUGGCUGUCGUCAGCUCGUGUCGUGAGAUGUUGGGUUAAGUCCCGCAACGAGCGCAACCCUUAUCAUUAGUUGCUACGCAAGGGCACUCUAAUGAGACUGCCGGUGACAAACCGGAGGAAGGUGGGGAUGACGUCAAGUCCUCAUGGCCCUUAUGGGUAGGGCUUCACACGUCAUACAAUGGUCGGUACAGAGGGUUGCCAAGCCGCGAGGCGGAGCCAAUCCCACAAAGCCGAUCGUAGUCCGGAUUGUUCUCUGCAACUCGAGAGCAUGAAGUCGGAAUCGCUAGUAAUCGCAGGUCAGCAUACUGCGGUGAAUACGUUCCCGGGUCUU